Molecule: long non-coding RNA, 267 nt
Filed under: Glycine max (soybean)
Lineage: Eukaryota; Viridiplantae; Streptophyta; Magnoliopsida; Fabales; Fabaceae
Description: long non-coding RNA (GMAX_LNC002938)
Source: RNAcentral
CCUUUUCCUGAGUUUCCCUCCUUCAUCCCCUUCCAUGGCAGCACCUUCACUCUCCUCCGCUCUCAACUCUCUCUCCUCCCCCUCCCUCUCUCUCUCCUUCUCCACCUCCUCCCGCCGCUUCUCUCUCCUCCCUCCACCCUCACACCAACCCUCCAAACCCCUCUUCCUCACCCUCAAAUCCAAACCCUCCGACGACAUUGACACAUCGUUCUUCGACAACAUCAACCCGCAAGACGACAUCACAUUCAAUCCCCCGGAGCCCCCGGA